Molecule: ribosomal RNA, 403 nt
Filed under: uncultured bacterium
Lineage: Bacteria
Description: partial 16S ribosomal RNA
Rfam family: Bacterial small subunit ribosomal RNA
Source: RNAcentral
GACGAACGCUGGCGGCGUGCCUAAUACAUGCAAGUCGAACGCAGUGGGGACGGGUGAGUAACAAGUGGGUAACCUCCCAUCAGAGGGGAUAACACUUGGAAACAGGUGCUAAACCGAUACUGAUGGAUGGACCCGCGGUGAAUUAGCUAGUUGGGGAGGUAACGGCCCACCAAGGCCCCGAUCCGUAGCUGGUUGGAGAGGACGACCAGCCACACUGGGACUGAGACACGGCCCAGACUCCUACGGGAGGCAGCAGUGGGGAAUUUUGGACAAUGGGGGAAACCCUGAUCCAGCCAUCCCGCGUGUGCGAUGAAGGCCUUCGGGUUGUAAAGCACUGUUGGCAGGAAAGCGGUACCUGCAGAAUAAGCACCGGCUAACUACGUGCCAGCAGCCGCGGUAAUUC